This 159-nucleotide microRNA precursor is filed under the name Cajanus cajan (pigeon pea). Its description in RNAcentral is "miRNA gene-KK1_050355". The record is from RNAcentral. Lineage: Eukaryota; Viridiplantae; Streptophyta; Magnoliopsida; Fabales; Fabaceae.
UCAAAUAUGCAAAUUUUUAAAAAUUUUAAAAAUUAUUUAAUACUUCAUUUCAUUAAUUCAAAUCAAUGUAUAAAAUGAUUUUAUGAUUAUCCGUCCAUUUAAAUUAAUGAAAUAAAAUAUCAAAUGAUUUUUAAAUUUUUAAAAAAUUUAAAAACUUAA